UUGGCACCGGUUCACGUCACCCGCACUCAGCGGAGGCGACCCGGCGGCC
Molecule: non-coding RNA, 49 nt
Filed under: unclassified sequences
Description: L31-Actinobacteria ribosomal protein leader
Rfam family: L31-Actinobacteria ribosomal protein leader
Source: RNAcentral